AAUAUUUUAAUAGUCGAACAGACUAAAUUAAUAAACUUUUGCAUUUAUUAUAAAUAUUAAUCCAACAUCGAGGUCGCAAUCUUUAAUUUCUAUAAGAACUAAAAAUUAAAAUAACG
This 116-nucleotide ribosomal RNA is filed under the name Calamoceratidae sp. CH-2014. Its description in RNAcentral is "partial 16S ribosomal RNA". The record is from RNAcentral. Lineage: Eukaryota; Metazoa; Arthropoda; Insecta; Trichoptera; Calamoceratidae.